RNAcentral lists this unclassified non-coding RNA (978 nucleotides) under Hevea brasiliensis (rubber tree). Lineage: Eukaryota; Viridiplantae; Streptophyta; Magnoliopsida; Malpighiales; Euphorbiaceae. The record is from RNAcentral.
GCCCUUUUCAACUGCAGAUCAUGGGUGGCCCAUUUCAGAUUGUACUGCAGAGGGACUUAAGGCAGUUCUUCUAUUAUCAAAGCUACCAUCAGAGAUGGUCGGUAAUCCAUUGGAGGCGAAGCGCUUGUAUGAUGCUGUAAAUGUUUUGCUUUCUUUACAGAAUAGCGGUGGUGGCUUUGCAACAUAUGAACUCUCAAGGUCAUAUCCAUGGUUGGAGCUAAUCAACCCUGCUGAGACUUUUGGAGAUAUUGUUAUUGAUUACCCUUAUGUAGAGUGUUCCUCAGCUGCAAUUCAAGCUUUAACAGCAUUUAAGAAAUUAUACCCUGGCCAUCGUAAGGAAGAAGUCGAACGCUGUAUUGCUAAAGCUGCCGCCUUCAUUGAAUCAAUUCAAGAAACAGAUGGCUCAUGGUAUGGCUCUUGGGCAGUUUGCUUCACCUAUGGCACUUGGUUUGGGGUGCUUGGCUUGCUAGCUGCGGGAAGGAACUACAAUAAUUCUUCCAGCAUCCGCAAGGCAUGUACGUUUUUGUUGUCUAAACAAGUCUCAUCUGGUGGCUGGGGGGAAAGUUAUCUGUCAUGUCAAAAUAAGGUGUAUACAAAUCUUGAAGGCAACAGAUCUCAUGUUGUAAAUACAGCAUGGGCUAUGCUGGCUCUAAUUGCUGCUGGACAGGCUGAGAGAAAUCCAACACCAUUACACUCUGCAGCAAAAGAAUUAAUAAAUGCUCAGCAAGAAAAUGGAGAUUACCCUCAGCAGGAGAUCAUGGGAGUCUUCAAUAGGAACUGCAUGAUAUCAUAUUCUGCAUAUAGGAACAUAUUUCCUAUUUGGGCAUUGGGAGAAUAUCGCGCUCAUGUACUCAGCUAAUUGAGUUGCAAUUCCAGAUGAUACUUCAAAACUCGACUCUUAUCUUUUUAUAGUCCCAUCUUUAACUUGUUAGAUACACAAUAAAUGAGUUGGUUAAUUUACGUUAUUUUGUAACUUAU